UACGUAGGGAGCAAGCGUUGUCCGGAAUCAUUGGGCGUAAAGCGCGCGUAGGUGGCCAUUUAAGUCCGCUGUGAAAGUCAAAGGCUCAACCUUUGAAAGCCGGUGGAUACUGGGUGGCUAGAGUACGGAAGAGGCGAGUGGAAUUCCUGGUGUAGCGGUGGAAUGCGCAGAUAUCAGGAGGAACACCAGUAGCGAAGGCAGCUCGCUGGGACGUUACUGACACUGAGGCGCGAAAGCGUGGGGAGCGAACAGG
This 253-nucleotide ribosomal RNA is filed under the name uncultured bacterium. RNAcentral describes it as "partial 16S ribosomal RNA". It matches the Rfam family "Bacterial small subunit ribosomal RNA", at positions 524 to 776 of the family's 1533-position model. The record is from RNAcentral.